AUGAUGGCAGAGAGGUCACACCCGUUCCCAUACCGAACACGGAAGUUAAGCUCUCUAGCGCCGAUGGUAGUUGGGACCUUGUCCCUGUGAGAGUAGGACGUCGCCGAGC
RNAcentral lists this ribosomal RNA (109 nucleotides) under Bacillus mycoides. Lineage: Bacteria; Bacillati; Bacillota; Bacilli; Caryophanales; Bacillaceae. The record is from RNAcentral.